This 593-nucleotide ribosomal RNA is filed under the name Colletotrichum xanthorrhoeae. RNAcentral's name for it is "eukaryotic LSU rRNA". The stretch from base 231 to 384 matches the Rfam family "5.8S ribosomal RNA". Lineage: Eukaryota; Fungi; Ascomycota; Sordariomycetes; Glomerellales; Glomerellaceae. The record is from RNAcentral.
UAGAGGAAGUAAAAGUCGUAACAAGGUCUCCGUUGGUGAACCAGCGGAGGGAUCAUUACUGAGUUUACACUCUACAACCCUUUGUGAACAUACCUAUAACUGUUGCUUCGGCGGGUAGGGUCUCCGUGACCCUCCCGGCCUCCCGCCCCCGGGCGGGUCGGCGCCCGCCGGAGGAUAACCAAACUCUGAUUUAACGACGUUUCUUCUGAGUGGCACAAGCAAAUAAUCAAAACUUUUAACAACGGAUCUCUUGGUUCUGGCAUCGAUGAAGAACGCAGCGAAAUGCGAUAAGUAAUGUGAAUUGCAGAAUUCAGUGAAUCAUCGAAUCUUUGAACGCACAUUGCGCCCGCCAGCAUUCUGGCGGGCAUGCCUGUUCGAGCGUCAUUUCAACCCUCAAGCUCUGCUUGGCGUUGGGGCCCUACAGCUGAUGUAGACCCUCAAAGGUAGUGGCUGACCCUCCCGGAGCCUCCUUUGCGUAGUAACUUUACGUCUCGCACUGGGAUCCGGAGGGACUCUUGCCGUAAAACCCUCAAUUUUCCAAAGGUUGACCUCGGAUCAGGUAGGAAUACCCGCUGAACUUAAGCAUAUCAAUA